Molecule: ribosomal RNA, 468 nt
Filed under: uncultured bacterium
Lineage: Bacteria
Description: partial 16S ribosomal RNA
Rfam family: Bacterial small subunit ribosomal RNA
Source: RNAcentral
GACGAACGCUGGCGGCGUGCUUAACACAUGCAAGUCGAACGGAAAGGCCCUGCUCUUGUGGGGUGCUCGAGUGGCGAACGGGUGAGUAACACGUGAGUAACCUGCCCUUGACUUUGGGAUAACUUCAGGAAACUGGGGCUAAUACCGGAUAGGAGCUCCUGCUGCAUGGUGGGGGUUGGAAAGCUUCGGCGGUUGGGGAUGGACUCGCGGCUUAUCAGCUUGUUGGUGGGGUAGUGGCUUACCAAGGCUUUGAAGGGUAGCCGGCCUGAGAGGGUGACCGGCCACAUUGGGACUGAGAUACGGCCCAGACUCCUACGGGGGGCAGCAGUGGGGAAUAUUGCCCAAUGGGCGGAAGCCUGAUGCAGCAACGCCGCGUGCGGAAUGACGGCCUUCGGGUUGUAAACCGCUUUCGCCUGUGACGAAGCGUGAGUGACGGUAAUGGGUAAAGAAGCACCGGCUAACUACGUG